AAGACAUCACAGCUGGAGCGAGACACAGACACCUGAGCCACUCAGGUGCAGAGGCAGCAUACAGCCAAGCACAGCAAAAACCAACCAGGGUGACUCUGACUUCUGCUAACACCACCGCAGUUCCAGAGCCAGCUCAUUACAUUGAAAAAGGGAUUCUACACCUGGAAGAUUUCCGGAUGGGUUCUCCUGGGCCGGAGUCGGCGAGUUGGAAGGAUGCGUCGCUGGAAGGGGCACUCAGAGGGACCUCCCACUAACCCGUCCUGGCACUCGGAGUUAGAGGAUGUGGAGAGGAGAUCGCUGACGGAGAGAUGGUCUGAUUUAGAGGAGGUCAUUGUGCCGAGCUUAUCUUUAGCUCUGUGGCUAAUGAGGACAGCAUCUCGUCCACUGUCGAUACUCAUUCCCCUAGCAUGUGUUCUUCCACUCUGAGUGCACCUCAUAUACGCUGAAGGGAUCUGCAAGAAUCCAUCGGCAUCCACUUUAAGCUCAGAAUCAGAACUGAUCGGCUCUUUGGCAAGAAGACUGUCUUGAUGAUCAGACUUCUCCUGAAGCGAGCUGUCUCCUGCAACCAGCGUAUCUUCUUUUUCAUCACCUGCGGAGGGUUCCUCCACUUCGUGAGGCGAAUCGAAA
Puntigrus tetrazona (Sumatra barb) is the source of this 627-nucleotide long non-coding RNA. RefSeq lists it as uncharacterized. NCBI's taxonomy places the organism in Eukaryota, Metazoa, Chordata, Actinopteri, Cypriniformes, Cyprinidae. The record is from RefSeq and is a predicted model, not a curated record. The transcript has 4 exons.